Molecule: ribosomal RNA, 494 nt
Filed under: uncultured bacterium
Lineage: Bacteria
Description: partial 16S ribosomal RNA
Rfam family: Bacterial small subunit ribosomal RNA
Source: RNAcentral
GAUGAACGCUAGCGGCAGGCCUAACACAUGCAAGUCGAGGGGUAGAACACUUCGGUGUUUGAGACCGGCGCACGGGUGCGUAACGCGUAUGCAAUCUACCUUAUACAGGGGAAUAGCCCAGAGAAAUUUGGAUUAAUGCCCCAUAGCAUUACGACUUGGCAUCAAGAUGUAAUUAAAGUUCCAACGGUAUAAGAUGAGCAUGCGUCCCAUUAGUUAGUUGGUAAGGUAACGGCUUACCAAGACGAUGAUGGGUAGGGGUCCUGAGAGGGAGAUCCCCCACACUGGUACUGGGACACGGACCAGGCUCCUACGGGAGGCAGCAGUGAGGAAUAUUGGUCAAUGGUCGCAAGCCUGAACCAGCCAUGCCGCGUGCAGGAAGACGGUCCUAUGGAUUGUAAACUGCUUUUAUACAGGAAGAAACCCUCCCACGUGUGGGAGCUUGACGGUACUGUAGGAAUAAGGAUCGGCUAACUCCGUGCCAGCCGCCGCCGUAA